AUAUGUAUGUGUGCAUAAACACGUGUAUAUGUGUGUGUACAGACAUACAUGUUUACACAUAUUAGCGUGCUGAUAAAUCAAUACAAA
This 87-nucleotide microRNA precursor is filed under the name Tursiops truncatus (common bottlenose dolphin). Its description in RNAcentral is "miRNA (ENSTTRG00000021785.1)". Lineage: Eukaryota; Metazoa; Chordata; Mammalia; Artiodactyla; Delphinidae. The record is from RNAcentral.